AGCGAACGUUUGCGGCGGGCCUAACACAUGCAAGUCGAACGAGAUCUCGGGCUUCGGUCCGGGUGAAAGUGGCGCACGGGUGCGUAACACGUGGGUAAUCAACCCUCUGGAUCGGGACAACCCGGGGAAACUCGGGCUAAUACCGGAUACGUCGUCGGAGCUCUAGGGCUCUGACGGGAAAGGCCUGCAAGGGCUACCAGAGGACGAGCUCGCGGCCCAUCAGCUAGUUGGUGAGGUAAUGGCUCACCAAGGCGAAGACGGGUAGCUGGUCUGAGAGGAUGGCCAGCCACAUUGGGACUGCGACACGGCCCAGACUCCUACGGGAGGCAGCAGUGGGGAAUAUUGCGCAAUGGACGAAAGUCUGACGCAGCGACGCCGCGUGUAGGAUGAAGCCUUUCGGGGUGUAAACUACUGUUGCCCGGGACGAAACUCCUUUUUCGUAGAGGACUGACGGUACCGGGUGAGGAAGCACCGGCUAACUCUGUGCCAGCAGCCGCGGUAAUGUCGAUA
RNAcentral lists this ribosomal RNA (510 nucleotides) under uncultured bacterium. Its description in RNAcentral is "bacterial SSU rRNA". It matches the Rfam family "Bacterial small subunit ribosomal RNA", at positions 28 to 531 of the family's 1533-position model. The record is from RNAcentral.